Molecule: ribosomal RNA, 458 nt
Filed under: uncultured bacterium
Lineage: Bacteria
Description: partial 16S ribosomal RNA
Rfam family: Bacterial small subunit ribosomal RNA
Source: RNAcentral
CUACGGGCUGCACCAGUAAGGAAUAUUGCGCAAUGGAGGCAACUCUGACGCAGCCAUGCCGCGUGCAGGAAGAAGGCCUUAUGGGUCGUAAACUGCUUUUAUUUAGGAAUAAACCCCCGAACGUGUUCGGGGCUGAAGGUACUAAACGAAUAAGCACCGGCUAACUCCGUGCCAGCAGCCGCGGUAAUACGGAGGGGGCAAGCGUUAUCCGAUGUAUUGGGUUUAAAGGGUGCGCAGGCGGGCUAUUAAGUCAGUGGUGAAAUCCCGGGGCUCAACUCCGGAACUGCCAUUGAUACUGAUAGUCUUGAGUUUGGUUGAAGUGGGCGGAAUGUAGCAUGUAGCGGUGAAAUGCAUAGAUAUGCUACAGAACACCAAUCGCGAAGGCAGCUCACUAAGCCAAAACUGACGCUCAUGCACGAAAGCGUGGGGAUCAAACAGGAUUAGAUACCCCUGUAGUC